This 737-nucleotide ribosomal RNA is filed under the name Escherichia coli. RNAcentral describes it as "partial 23S ribosomal RNA". It matches the Rfam family "Bacterial large subunit ribosomal RNA", at positions 691 to 1424 of the family's 2925-position model. The record is from RNAcentral. Lineage: Bacteria; Pseudomonadati; Pseudomonadota; Gammaproteobacteria; Enterobacterales; Enterobacteriaceae.
GGCGUUAAGUUGCAGGGUAUAGACCCGAAACCCGGUGAUCUAGCCAUGGGCAGGUUGAAGGUUGGGUAACACUAACUGGAGGACCGAACCGACUAAUGUUGAAAAAUUAGCGGAUGACUUGUGGCUGGGGGUGAAAGGCCAAUCAAACCGGGAGAUAGCUGGUUCUCCCCGAAAGCUAUUUAGGUAGCGCCUCGUGAAUUCAUCUCCGGGGGUAGAGCACUGUUUCGGCAAGGGGGUCAUCCCGACUUACCAACCCGAUGCAAACUGCGAAUACCGGAGAAUGUUAUCACGGGAGACACACGGCGGGUGCUAACGUCCGUCGUGAAGAGGGAAACAACCCAGACCGCCAGCUAAGGUCCCAAAGUCAUGGUUAAGUGGGAAACGAUGUGGGAAGGCCCAGACAGCCAGGAUGUUGGCUUAGAAGCAGCCAUCAUUUAAAGAAAGCGUAAUAGCUCACUGGUCGAGUCGGCCUGCGCGGAAGAUGUAACGGGGCUAAACCAUGCACCGAAGCUGCGGCAGCGACGCUUAUGCGUUGUUGGGUAGGGGAGCGUUCUGUAAGCCUGCGAAGGUGUGCUGUGAGGCAUGCUGGAGGUAUCAGAAGUGCGAAUGCUGACAUAAGUAACGAUAAAGCGGGUGAAAAGCCCGCUCGCCGGAAGACCAAGGGUUCCUGUCCAACGUUAAUCGGGGCAGGGUGAGUCGACCCCUAAGGCGAGGCCGAAAGGCGUAGUCGAUGGGAA